AACGAACGCUGGCGGCAUGCCUAACACAUGCAAGUCGAACGAGUCCUUCGGGUCUAGUGGCGCACGGGUGCGUAACGCGUGGGAACCUGCCCUUAGGUUCGGAAUAACUCCCCGAAAGGGGUGCUAAUACCGGAUAAUGUCUUCGGACCAAAGAUUUAUCGCCUUUGGAUGGGCCCGCGUUGGAUUAGCUAGUUGGUAGGGUAAAAGCCUACCAAGGCGACGAUCCAUAGCUGGUCUGAGAGGAUGAUCAGCCACACUGGGACUGAGACACGGCCCAGACCCCUACGGGAGGCAGCAGUGGGGAAUAUUGGACAAUGGGCGAAAGCCUGAUCCAGCAAUGCCGCGUGAGUGAUGAAGGCCUUAGGGUUGUAAAGCUCUUUUACCCGGGAUGAUAAUGACAGUACCGGGAGAAUAAGCUCCGGCUAACUCCGUG
This 433-nucleotide ribosomal RNA is filed under the name uncultured bacterium. RNAcentral describes it as "partial 16S ribosomal RNA". It matches the Rfam family "Bacterial small subunit ribosomal RNA", at positions 29 to 507 of the family's 1533-position model. The record is from RNAcentral.